UACGCAGGCGGUUUGUUAAGCGAGAUGUGAAAGCCCCGGGCUCAACCUGGGAACUGCAUUUCGAACUGGCAAACUAGAGUGUGAUAGAGGGUGGUAGAAUUUCAGGUGUAGCGGUGAAAUGCGUAGAGAUCUGAAGGAAUACCGAUGGCGAAGGCAGCCACCUGGGUCAACACUGACGCUCAUGUACGAAAGCGUGGGGAGCAAACGGGAUUAGAUACCCCGGUAGUCCACGCCGUAAACGAUGUCUACUAGAAGCUCGGAACCUCGGUUCUGUUUUUCAAAGCUAACGCAUUAAGUAGACCGCCUGGGGAGUACGGCCGCAAGGUUAAAACUCAAAUGAAUUGACGGGGGCCCGCACAAGCGGUGGAGCAUGUGGUUUAAUUCGAUGCAACGCGAAGAACCUUACCUACACUUGACAUACAGAGAACUUUCUAGAGAUAGAUUGGUGCCUUCGGGAACUCUGAUACAGGUGCUGCAUGGCUGUCGUCAGCUCGUGUUGUGAGAUGUUGGGUUAAGUCCCCGCAACGAGCGC
RNAcentral lists this ribosomal RNA (532 nucleotides) under uncultured bacterium. RNAcentral's name for it is "bacterial SSU rRNA". It matches the Rfam family "Bacterial small subunit ribosomal RNA", at positions 568 to 1099 of the family's 1533-position model. The record is from RNAcentral.